Molecule: microRNA precursor, 105 nt
Filed under: Canis lupus dingo (dingo)
Lineage: Eukaryota; Metazoa; Chordata; Mammalia; Carnivora; Canidae
Description: mir-8834 microRNA precursor family
Rfam family: mir-8834 microRNA precursor family
Source: Rfam by way of RNAcentral
AGGAGGAACAACCCCAGUGGCGGGGCCAGCUCUGGAGCCCUGGAGUCAGCCCAGGCAGUAACUCCGGAGCUCUCGGUCUGCAGGGCCUGGAGGCUCCCGGGCGGG